GUGGUGGGGGGGCAGAGGCGGGAGAAGCUCUAGGGUUGCAGAUUUAGAUCUCAAGGCUGAAAAGGUUACGCUUGCACCAGAGCAUCCUCUAACGCCGCCUGCCCUGCCCUGCGCGCGCACCGCACUCACACGCACACCCGCCCUCGCACAGGCACACUGCCUCCAAGCCGCUCUACUCGCCAGACUGCAGGGCAAGCGGCCCCUCCGAAGCGCGCUCGCCGGAGAGCUGCACAAAGCCUCGGAAAGUUUCCUACUUGGGCGACGAAGGCGGAUGAGCCUCGCCUCCUGGCUGGGGCGGACCCAAAAGUACCCGAAGUCUCGCCGGCGAGUUGCGCCCUCGGCUGUCCCAGCAGUCACCCUCAAACGCACAUCCCUUCCCUGGCCGAGGGGAACCGAGGCCGCCUAAGAACCGGCCCCGCCGGGCCCUCUGCUGGGGGCCCGGGGAGCCCUGGGAAUCCGCUGCCGGCGCCGCGCCCGGGCGCCCGGCCCCUGCCCAGCCCGCGGGCCGCGCCCGCCUACCCGCUCGCUGGAGCUUUGCGCCCUCAGCCUCGGGGACCUGCCCACCCUACAGCUUCGCUGGAGAAGGAAAAUGAGAGCUACGUUCCCAGAGGAACAGAGUUCGCGUCCUCGCAGGGCACCGAGGGGGACUUCAUCCGGCCCAGGGGCUCUGCAGAUACUCCCCGGGGGGUUGGGGGGGCUCGGGCCAACAGUGACUUUGGAGUAGACCUGAUUUUGUGGCACCUCCAACUCCGGAGUCCACGUCCCCUUGUCACUCAAGAAGUUCAGCUGAGCUUUGCGUGGUGACUGUCCCUCAUCCUGAUCCCCACCCAAUAGCCAAGCCAAGGCCAGAGGUGUGCGGACUUUUUCUUUAAAGACCCACAUCUUAUACAUGUGAGAUUUUUGUCAGGCGGUACAGAUUACUUAAAGCGUACCAUUUCUCCGCGAUCCAAUUUUAUUAGGAUUUGCUCUCAUUUGUGCUUGGCUUCUCUGGGGAAAUAAUGCUUUGAUUAAUGUAAUCCUGGCCCGGGAUCCGCCACAUGCCCCUCGCCCCUCUCCCAAGAGAAAGGGCCUAUUUGACAAACAAUAACAGAGCAGCAACUCUUGCAAUCUGU
Molecule: long non-coding RNA, 1112 nt
Filed under: Equus caballus (horse)
Lineage: Eukaryota; Metazoa; Chordata; Mammalia; Perissodactyla; Equidae
Description: lncRNA (ENSECAG00000040766.2)
Source: RNAcentral